AUACGGAGGGGGCUAGCGUUGUUCGGAUUUACUGGGCGUAAAGCGCGCGUAGGCGGUAUAUCAAGUUAGGCGUGAAAGCCCCGGGCUCAACCCGGGAACUGCGCUUAUUACUGAUAAACUAGAGUCCGGGAGAGGGUGGCGGAAUUCCCAGUGUAGAGGUGAAAUUCGUAGAUAUUGGGAAGAACACCAGUUGCGAAGUCGGCCACCUGGACCGGUACUGACGCUGAGGUGCGAAAGCGUGGGGAGCAAACAGGAUUAGAUACCCCGGUAGUCC
Molecule: ribosomal RNA, 274 nt
Filed under: uncultured bacterium
Lineage: Bacteria
Description: partial 16S ribosomal RNA
Rfam family: Bacterial small subunit ribosomal RNA
Source: RNAcentral